This 95-nucleotide small RNA is filed under the name Pseudomonas sp. B10. RNAcentral's name for it is "t44 RNA". It matches the Rfam family "t44 RNA", at positions 12 to 95 of the family's 95-position model. From Rfam's summary of the family: This family consists of a number of bacterial RNA genes of between 135 and 170 bases in length. Lineage: Bacteria; Pseudomonadati; Pseudomonadota; Gammaproteobacteria; Pseudomonadales; Pseudomonadaceae. The record is from RNAcentral. RNAcentral also lists the same sequence under 1 other name.
GAAAAGCUUAAAUCCACACACGUGUCGACACGAUGACCUGGGUGCCUUGGGCUUUAUGCCUCUGGUUGGUCAUUGGGAUACGUGGAGGCCAAACC